GAGUUUGAUCAUGGCUCAGAAUCAACGCUGGCGGCGUGCCUAACACAUGCAAGUCGAGCGAGAAAGCCGGUUUCGGCCGGUGAGUAAAGCGGCGAACGGGUGAGUAACGCGUGGGAGAUCUGCCCUAUCGAGGGGGAUAACCCGGGGAAACCCGGGCUAAGACCGCAUAAGCCUGUGACCGUAAGGGGUGACAGGGAAAGGCCUUCGGGUCGCGAUAGGAGGAGCCCGCGUCCGAUUAGCUAGUUGGUGGGGUAAGAGCCUACCAAGGCGACGAUCGGUAGCCGGUCUGAGAGGACGGACGGCCACACUGGGACUGAGAGACGGCCCAGACUCCUACGGGAGGCAGCAGUGGGGAAUUUUGCGCAAUGGGGGAAACCCUGACGCAGCAACGCCGCGUGGAGGACGAAGGUUUUCGGAUCGUAAACUCCUGUCCAGAGGGAAGAAGGAAGUGACGGUACCUCUGGAGGAAGCCCCGGCUAACUCCGUGCCAGCAGCCGCGGUAAAACGGGGG
RNAcentral lists this ribosomal RNA (511 nucleotides) under uncultured bacterium. RNAcentral describes it as "bacterial SSU rRNA". It matches the Rfam family "Bacterial small subunit ribosomal RNA", at positions 9 to 531 of the family's 1533-position model. The record is from RNAcentral.